UACGUAGGGGGCAAGCGUUGUCCGGAAUCAUUGGGCGUAAAGCGCGUGUAGGCGGUCCGGUAAGUCCGCUGUGAAAGUCGGGGGCUCAACCCUCGGAUGCCGGUGGAUACUGUCGGGCUCGAAUCCGGAAGAGGUGAGUGGAAUUCCUGGUGUAGCGGUGAAAUGCGCAGAUAUCAGGAGGAACACCAAUGGCGAAGGCAGCUCACUGGGACGGUAUUGACGCUGAGACGCGAAAGCGUGGGGAGCAAACAGG
RNAcentral lists this ribosomal RNA (253 nucleotides) under uncultured bacterium. RNAcentral describes it as "partial 16S ribosomal RNA". It matches the Rfam family "Bacterial small subunit ribosomal RNA", at positions 524 to 776 of the family's 1533-position model. The record is from RNAcentral.